This 439-nucleotide ribosomal RNA is filed under the name uncultured bacterium. RNAcentral's name for it is "partial 16S ribosomal RNA". It matches the Rfam family "Bacterial small subunit ribosomal RNA", at positions 338 to 795 of the family's 1533-position model. The record is from RNAcentral.
CCUACGGGUGGCAGCAGUAGGGAAUAUUGCUCAAUGGGGGAAACCCUGAAGCAGCAACGCCGCGUGGAGGAUGAAGGUUUUAGGAUUGUAAACUCCUUUUGUUAGAGAAGAUUAUGACGGUAUCUAACGAAUAAGCACCGGCUAACUCCGUGCCAGCAGCCGCGGUAAUACGGAGGAUGCGAGCGGUAUCCGGAUUUAUUGGGGUAAACGGUUGCUCAGGCGGUAGAUCAAGUCAGCGGUAAAAUUGGGGGGCUCAACCUCUUCGAGCCGUUGAAACUGGGUUUCUUGAGGGAGUGAGAAGUAUGCGGAAUGCGUGGUGUAGCGGUGAAAUGCAUAGAUAUCACGCAGAACUCCGAUUGCGAAGGCAGCAUACCGGCGCUUAACUGACGCUCAUGCACGAAAGUGUGGGUAUCGAACAGGAUUAGAUACCCUAGUAGUC